Molecule: ribosomal RNA, 252 nt
Filed under: uncultured bacterium
Lineage: Bacteria
Description: partial 16S ribosomal RNA
Rfam family: Bacterial small subunit ribosomal RNA
Source: RNAcentral
UACGUAGGUCCCGAGCGUUGUCCGGAUUUAUUGGGCGUAAAGCGAGCGCAGGUCGUUUAUUAAGUCUGGUGUAAAAGGCAGUGGCUCAACCAUUGUAUGCAUUGGAAACUGGUAGACUUGAGUGCAGGAGAGGAGAGUGGAAUUCCAUGUGUAGCGGUGAAAUGCGUAGAUAUAUGGAGGAACACCGGUGGCGAAAGCGGCUCUCUGGCCUGUAACUGACACUGAGGCUCGAAAGCGCGGGGAGCAAACAGG